AUUGAACGCUGGCGGCAGGCUUAACACAUGCAAGUCGAGCGGAGUGAUGGUGCUUGCACUAUCACUUAGCGGCGGACGGGUGAGUAAUGCUUAGGAAUCUGCCUAUUAGUGGGGGACAACAUUUCGAAAGGAAUGCUAAUACCGCAUACGUCCUACGGGAGAAAGCAGGGGAUCUUCGGACCUUGCGCUAAUAGAUGAGCCUAAGUCGGAUUAGCUAGUUGGUGGGGUAAAGGCCUACCAAGGCGACGAUCUGUAGCGGGUCUGAGAGGAUGAUCCGCCACACUGGGACUGAGACACGGCCCAGACUCCUACGGGAGGCAGCAGUGGGGAAUAUUGGACAAUGGGCGCAAGCCUGAUCCAGCCAUGCCGCGUGUGUGAAGAAGGCCUUAUGGUUGUAAAGCACUUUAAGCGAGGAGGAGGCUACUGAAGUUAAUACCUUCAGAUAGUGGACGUACUCGCAGAAUAAGCCCCGGCA
RNAcentral lists this ribosomal RNA (475 nucleotides) under Acinetobacter calcoaceticus. RNAcentral describes it as "bacterial SSU rRNA". It matches the Rfam family "Bacterial small subunit ribosomal RNA", at positions 30 to 498 of the family's 1533-position model. The record is from RNAcentral. Lineage: Bacteria; Pseudomonadati; Pseudomonadota; Gammaproteobacteria; Moraxellales; Moraxellaceae.